Molecule: ribosomal RNA, 377 nt
Filed under: uncultured organism
Description: partial 16S ribosomal RNA
Rfam family: Bacterial small subunit ribosomal RNA
Source: RNAcentral
GAGGGGGUGCAAGCGUUAUUCGGAAUCAUUGGGCGUAAAGGGUACGUAGGCGGUACGUUAAGUCAGCUGUCAAAUUUUCCGGCCUAACCGGGAAGCUGGGCGGGCAGAUACUGGCGAACUAGAGGAUGAGAGAGAGAAGUGGAAUUCUCGGAGUAGCGGUAAUAUGCGUCGGAUCUCGAGAGGAACACCGAUGGCGAAGGCAGCUUCUUGGCUCAUUCCUGACGCUGAGGUACGAAAGCGUGGGGAGCAAACAGGAUUAGAUACCCUGGUAGUCCACGCUGUAAACGAUGAUCACUAGACGUCAGCUCUGUUUUACAGGGUUGGUGUCGUAGCUAACGCGUUAAGUGAUCCGCCUGGGGACUACGGUCGCAAGGCUA